Molecule: long non-coding RNA, 2363 nt
Organism: Equus caballus (horse)
Lineage: Eukaryota; Metazoa; Chordata; Mammalia; Perissodactyla; Equidae
Source: Ensembl
CUUCACACCCCUCUGCUCCCCUGGACAAAGCAGAGACACGACUGAUGCUCCAGCAGCUCGACCCCCACCAGGAAAUCAUCCACAGACACCAUCUUCCCAUUAGCCUCUGGGGCCCUGGACUGCCGAGCCAGCCUUUCAUCCACCUGUAGUCAAGAACUUGCCCGGACCUGUGGGGGUCUGUUAAAAUUUCCACAUUAGCUUGUCCUGGACGACAGCUACAUUUUGGAGAAAGUAAAGGACAUUGGACAGAAGAUGAUGCGAUGACAAAGCAGAGGGACAGAGAGAAAGAGAUCUGAAGAUGCCACCCUGCUGGCUUUGAAGAUGGAAAAAGGGCCAAAAGCCAAGAGAUGUAGGUGGCCUCUGGAAGCUGAAGGGGCAAGGAAACAGAUCUCCCCUGGAGCCUCUAGAAGGACCUGGCUCUACCAACAUCUUGACCUUGGCCCAGCGAGCCUGGUCCCAGAUGUCUGGCCUCCAGAGCCGAGAGAGGACACAUUUGUGUUGUUGGAAGGCACUGCAUUUGUGGUGAUUUGUUACAGCAGCCACAGGACGCUAAACAACCACUGAGUCAGCCCGUCCCCUGCAGCUCUCUCAGCGGCAGCCUGGUUCCCGAAAACAGCAAGAAUGAAGCCGGCCUCAUGGAGCUGACACCUGGCAGGGUACAUCAUCGAGCAGUGGGCAGUUGCAACGCAUCGCAGGGGACACCUGCGGCUGGCGACACGGAGAAGGGCCCCCGCUCAGCCUGAAGCAUCAGGGAAGACUUGCUCAACAAGGGCUGCUUCAGCAGAGGCUGGGAAGAUGAAUAGGACUUAACCGGGAGGAAAAGGGAAGGGGGGAUACCAAACAGAGGGAGCAGUGAGUGCAAAGGCCUGGAGGUGAGAGAGAGCCCAAUCAUUUGAGCAACUGAAGUGAUACAGCCCGGACAGAGGACAGGGUUUGAAGGGGAAACGAUAGAAGCCUGUGGUGCAACGGUUAGGCGUCGAGCUCUGUGAGUGCUUGAGUUGAGGCCCAGCCUCGCUAUCUCCCAGCUUUGUGAUUUGGGGCAAGUAACUUGACCUCUCUGUGCCCUAGUUUCCUCACCUGCCUGACAGGGAUAACACAUGGUACUUACCUUACAGGGUCCUGGGAGGUUUAAACACAGCUACAGCACAGAGCAAAGGGCUCAAGAAAUCUGUCAUUUGGGGCUGGCCUGGUGGUGCAGCGGUUGGGUGCACACGCUCCACUUCGGUGGCCCGGGGUUCACCAGUUUGGAUCCCCGGUGCAGACAUGGCACUACUUGGCAAGCCAUGCUGUGGAGUUUAAGCUGAGUUUUUGUCACUGGCAAGCAGGAGAGUCCUGAUUGAUAGAUGUGUGCUCAGUAAACUCGCAUUGACUAAGGGACUGGGUGAGCAUCGAGCGCUCUGGCCCUCCCCUGAGCUCUUUAAGUCUGAGGGUGACUCCAUGGGGAGGACCCUGCUUCCCUGUGGGACCAUAAGGACUUGCAGGCAUUCUUCAGUUGGCCUGGGAACGUGCCCUCUCCGUUCUCCCCACCUGCAGGGCCUGCCAUCCAAGUCUAAGGUUCUUUCCGGAGAGGGAGGAGGCUCUGCUCAGGCAGGUGUGCAGCUGGCCCAGAAGCUGAGUCCUUGUUUUCCUCUCCCUGACCCAAACCUCCCCAACAGGGAAGAUGUCAGGUUCUGCUUGGAGAGGGGAAAUGGGAAAGGGGGCUGAGGCCUGGGGAAAGCCUGAGGGGUUAGGGCCUUUAUCAGUCCCAUUUUACAGAUGAAGACACUGAGGCCAGGGAGGUUAAGUUACUUAUCCUCAAACCUGGGGCCCACCAAAGAGAACUCAGAACUCUUUUUUUCCUCCUCCUUAACGAUUUUCCAUCUAGUGUCCGCAAAUUUUUUUCUGCCUUUCUUGCCCUCCCAAAUAUGGAUACUCAUUCCUUAUGAUGACUCACUCCUUUCUCUUCGGUCUUGAAGAACAAUGUCUGGGCAGACCUGGGUUUGUGUCUCUGCUCCCUGAUGGACAAGCUGUAUGUCCUCAGGCCAGUGUCUUCACCUCUCUGGGGCUUGGUCCCUUCAACAAUGGCAGUGGAGAUGCUCUCAGGCUUUUUAUGAGGAUUACGUGAGUUAAUACAUGUAAAACGUUUAAAAUAGUAAGCUCUUUUGAUGUACUCAAUAAAUGGCAGUUUUUAUCAUUAAUUUCCUUCAGAAAUUAUACUGUGCAGUAUUUCUUGUAAUGAAAUAGAGGGAAAUGUUCUCCCAAAUAAGUAAAUAAAUAAUCCCACUUUGAAAACUGCAAUUUUGGGGCCAGCUGGUGGCAUAGUGCUUAAGUUCAUACUCUCCACUUUGGUGGCCUGGGUUUUGCAGGUUUGGAUCCUGGGUGCG